CAUGACCUCCUGUCCGGCUGUCCCUCGGUCCGAGCCCCGUGGGUGACACUGGCCGACCUCAGGAAGGGCGCCCCGCCUCACUCCGUCUGAGCCCGCGCGCCGCGUCGAGCCUCUACGUCAUCACGCUGUUCGGGGGGCGGGACUUCCUCCCCACGCCCCGGAAGCGGGGAAGGACUCUUUCCCGCGGUGAAGAAACAGGGCUUGGGAUGGAGGUCAGAUGCCAGAGGGCUGCCUGCGUCUGUCGCGUAGAGUUGCAGGUGAACAUGGCCUUGAGGUAAAUCUUGCCCUUGUUGAAGUUUAGUUUCAGCAGAUGAUUUCUGGCAUUUUGAGGAAUUGGAAUAUUUUACAAGAAACAAAAAUUUUAUUUGCUUCUGUCCUAGACUUAAUUUUUCUUCUUGUAGAAGAGGAGAAACAGUUUAAACAAAAAUUCUUUACGGUAAAUAAUUAUGACGCUUAAAUUAAAUGGAUUUUAAAUGUCAAAGCCACUUGUAGAUGGUUUUAUUCUUGGUCAAAUAAAAUUUUACUAACCCCUA
Myotis daubentonii (Daubenton's bat) is the source of this 533-nucleotide long non-coding RNA. RefSeq lists it as uncharacterized. Lineage: Eukaryota; Metazoa; Chordata; Mammalia; Chiroptera; Vespertilionidae. The record is from RefSeq and is a predicted model, not a curated record.